CAUAUCAUUUGAAAACGUAGACAGUCCAAGGUAUUCAAAAUGGGGUAUAUGUCCAGUGUUUUGUAGUAGCCACUUAGUCACACUGGCCAAAGUUAGCAUUUAUAUUUGUUUGUGUGUGGAAAAUGCAAAAAACUAAUAUGAACGCUAACUUUGGCCAGUGUUUUUGUGACUAAGUGGCUACUAGAAAAAAACUGGACAUACCCUAAUUGCAAUACCUUGGGUUGUCUACUUUUGCAAAUGGUAUG
Molecule: non-coding RNA, 245 nt
Organism: Pelobates cultripes (western spadefoot toad)
Lineage: Eukaryota; Metazoa; Chordata; Amphibia; Anura; Pelobatidae
Source: the annotation of a GenBank genome assembly